CGCUUACAGAAAAGAAGAAGACAACAAAGCAGUUCGCCGUCUUCACAACUCCGAGACAAACUGUAGCAGGCGCUACGAACCGGAGCAAGGACUAACCUCGCCUCAUAACGAGGCCGUGACCUAUAUUUUCUCGGAGCUACGUCUGCAAGUCCAGAUUUACAUGACGCUGAUAAUGACGCCAUUCUGCCUGUAAGACAUAUCACCAGACAGCACGCAGGAGCUUCAGGUAGAAACAACCAGAUGUGGCAUCGCGGGCAGAAGCUGUGAAGAGUUCAGCUCGGAGUCGGUUGAGAAGAAAAGAGGCUGCUGGAAGCGAGACAGAGUGUGCUGGCUGCGGGUGAGGUGGACAUUUGGAAGUGCGGCACAUAGAAAUACAGGACAACCACAGACGUCUGCCACCACAGACGUCCGAGCAGCCAAAUGGUAGAUGUCCACCUCACCCGCAGCCAGCACGGCCAUUGAACUGCCAGAGAGGUGCAGCAUUAACAAAUAUAGGAAAUAAUAAAUGAAACUUCUGACAGUUAACUUGUAAUAACACAUAUAAUAGAGCUGUUUUUAAAUCUAAAGUAUGUUUUGAUUAUAACAGAGGAUGGCGUGUUAAGAGUAUAUACAGACUCCAGGGUGUUUAAACAUGUUUGUCCUGAAUUCAUUUAAAAACAAUGAGACCGUUGGCUGGUUGGUUUACUCCAACAUUCAUUCAGAUGACUAACUGCACUAAUUGGAACAAUAUACAAUACUUAAUAUAUUAUAAUACUAAAUCACAAUUACAGUAACGUUAUCUCCAAAUAAAAAUAUUUCUGUCGGCUGUUCUUCAGUGGAAAGUUUAUAUUCACUUUACCAACGGCGCCUUUAUACUCACAUAACACAUACACUAAAUGGGGGUAACUGUCAUUUUUACAAAUAUAUACUAAAGUAAAUAAUACAUUGUGUUUUAAAAUUAAAUUAAUAAGUGUUUAUUCAUUAAGUAUUAUAAAAUGAAUACAUAAAAUGUAAUCAAAUGUAAUUUAAAAA
Long non-coding RNA from Perca fluviatilis (European perch), 1011 nucleotides. RefSeq lists it as uncharacterized. The record is from RefSeq and is a predicted model, not a curated record. Lineage: Eukaryota; Metazoa; Chordata; Actinopteri; Perciformes; Percidae. The transcript is spliced from 5 exons.